This is a non-coding RNA of Nematostella vectensis (starlet sea anemone), 73 nucleotides long. The record is from Rfam. Lineage: Eukaryota; Metazoa; Cnidaria; Anthozoa; Actiniaria; Edwardsiidae.
GCCCGGUUAGCUCAGAUGGUAGAGCAUCAGACAUUUAAUCUGAGGGUCAUGGGUUCGAGCCCCAUAUCGGGCG